UUUUUCUUUUUUCUUUUUUGGCUGCACCCUUGGUGUAUGAACAUUCCCAGCCCAGGGAUUGAAUCUGAGCUGCCUCUGCAACCUAUACCACAGCUGGACCCUUAACCCACUGUGCCACAGGGGGAACUCUGCCAUCAGGUCUUUAUUUCAGAACCUGGAAGGAGAGUAAGGAAGGGGGAAAGGGCUUACACCAGAUGUCCUUUAAGAAGCUUCCUCCCAGUGAUUCCUUUGUCAGGCCUUUGAUGAGACCCUCGUUCAACAGCUAUACUGAUCUGCAGGGAAAAUGGCUGGGGUGGGGGCAUUGCAAUAAUGCCAAGUCCAGUGUCCUGCCCCCACACCUGAGUUGUAUUAUCAAGAAAGAGUGGCCAUCAGAUAAUGGGAGGACAACCAGCAUCUCUGGCAGUGCUUUGCCGCCCUCCAGAGCUGAGAUGGAGGGCCCUGUUUAGUUCAGGUCCACAGCAGAGUGACAGACACCAGAGGUGAAACAUCUCAGAAAAGAAACCUAGGGGAAAUAACGGGGCCAAUCUUACUUCCUUGCAUGCGAGGAACUGCAGAGUGAUGGGGGCGGGAUCUCUGAGUGGCCUGGAGGUAGGGAAGGAAGGCGGCUGCUUCCUGACCCUGGGGCAGGUGUGUGGAGUGUGCCAUUGCGGGGCGCUGGUUCUUCUGCCCACAGUGGAUCCAACCCCACACACCUGCAGCGUCCUUAGUGCUUUUGAAGCAGCAAAAGGACUUGCUUGGCCUGGGAAAGCCGAGGUCAGACUGGUUCUGAGAAAAACCUUUCACCUGGGGUGAAAAUGGCCCUGAGAGGUGUCAGUGAAUCUUGUGAUAAAUAGGUUAUCAUAAAUCAUUAACAACCACAAUUAACUACAACACAUCCACCAUCCAAUCUGAACUAAUGCUAGUAUAUUGCUUCCGAGUAUACUGAGCUCUCUCUUUCUAAUUUGAUCCUCACAGAGUUUCUGCACAGACACAAGCCCCGCUCGCUGGCCUCCGUGGUUACAGAAGGCGCGUUGUGUGGAUGGGGCCAGGCUGCUGUGCUUCUCUGCAGGGGCGGGGAGGGGCGAGCGGGUGGAGGGCAGCGCAUCCACAUACCCGCUCUCUGCCCAGGCCUCGACCCCCGCACGCUGACUCUCAGCUCUUCAGGUUUGGUCCGGGACAGACACCAUCGCCUCCCCUCGAGCCCAGGCCUUCGGGUCUGGACUGGAAACACAUCUCUGGCUUUCCCGGGCUGCCAGCUUGCGGCCAGCAGCUUGUGACAUCUCAGCCUCCGUAACCAUCGAAACCAGUCCCCCCCAGUACUUGUCCAGAGCUACCUUCAUCCCUCUAUGUUCUCAUGAUUCCGGUUCUCAGGAGGAGCCUCCACCCCCAUCUUAGAUGCUUGGUCUCACUUCUGGGAUGAGAAGGUCAGGCGAUGGCUCAGGGGGCAGCGGGGCCUUCACUUUCCCGCCGUCACACGAGGCGCCCUGACCCGAGCUUCCCUCUCAACACGGCCCUCGGUACCUGCUCCUCUAAAGGACUUGCCCAAGAAUUCGAAGGGAGACUGAAGAAGCCAGGACACUGCCGAGGAUCCAGGAGCCGGGGGUAAGGGCUGUGGCUGGGGAGCGGGGGGUGCCUGGGCCUGUGCUUGGUGGUGCUGAAAUGGGAACACAAGAGUGAAAGCCUUCAUCCAGACCCCAGGUCCGGGGAGAUGGCACCUCAGCCCUCCUGUCCAGGCUGUCCUGCAGCGCAGACACUUCCGACCCGUCAACGGUGUGCCGGCUGCCAGGACACGUCCUGGGCUUGGAACAGAGACAGGGCCUGGGCCCUGGCCUCGAGGAGC
RNAcentral lists this long non-coding RNA (1819 nucleotides) under Sus scrofa (pig). Its description in RNAcentral is "lncRNA (ENSSSCG00015043936.1)". Lineage: Eukaryota; Metazoa; Chordata; Mammalia; Artiodactyla; Suidae. The record is from RNAcentral.